This 258-nucleotide ribosomal RNA is filed under the name uncultured prokaryote. RNAcentral's name for it is "partial 16S ribosomal RNA". It matches the Rfam family "Bacterial small subunit ribosomal RNA", at positions 524 to 782 of the family's 1533-position model. The record is from RNAcentral.
UACGUAGGGGCAAGCGUUGUCCGGAAUUACUGGGCGUAAAGCGCACGCAGGCGGAAUUGUAAGUCUGUUGUAAAAUUCAGAGGCUCAACCUCUGUCUGUCGGCGGAUACUGCAAAUCUAGAGUAUGUGAGAGGGAAGUGGAAUUCCUGGUGUAGCGGUGAAAUGCGUAGAAAUCAGGAGGAAUACCAGUGGCGAAGGCGGCCUUCUGGACUGACACUGACGCUGAGGUGCGAAAGCGUGGGUAGCAAACAGGAUUAGA